GACGAACGCUGGCGGCGUGCUUUAUACAUGCAAGUCGAACGAUGAAGUUCCUUCGGGAAUGGAUUAGUGGCGAACGGGUGAGGAACACGUGAGAAACCUGCCUUUCAUUCUGGGAUAACACCGGGAAACCGGUGCUAAUACCGGAUACUCCAUCUUGGCGGCAUCGCCGAGCUGGGAAAAAAUUUUGAUGAAAGAUGGUCUCGCGGCCUAUCAGCUAGUUGGUGAGGUAAAGGCUCACCAAGGCGACGACGGGUAGCCGGCCUGAGAGGGCAACCGGCCACACGGGGACUGAGACACGGACCAGACUCCAGCGGGAGGCAGCAGUAGGGAAUAUUGGGCAAUGGGCGAAAGCCUGACCCAGCGAAGCCGCGUGAGGGAUGAAGGUCUUCGGAUUGUAAACCUCUUUCAGUAGGGAAGAAGCGAAAGUGACGGUACCUAAAAAAGAAGCACCGGCUAACUAUGUGCCAGCAGCCGCAGUAA
RNAcentral lists this ribosomal RNA (480 nucleotides) under uncultured bacterium. RNAcentral's name for it is "partial 16S ribosomal RNA". It matches the Rfam family "Bacterial small subunit ribosomal RNA", at positions 28 to 523 of the family's 1533-position model. The record is from RNAcentral.